GCCGCGGUGGCGGAAUUUGGUAUACGCGCUACCUUGAGGUGGUAGUGGGGGUAACUCCUUGGAGGUUCAAGUCCUCUCCGCGGCACCA
RNAcentral lists this transfer RNA (88 nucleotides) under Candidatus Kerfeldbacteria bacterium CG08_land_8_20_14_0_20_40_16. RNAcentral's name for it is "tRNA-Leu". It matches the Rfam family "tRNA". Rfam says of the family: Transfer RNA (tRNA) molecules are approximately 80 nucleotides in length. Their secondary structure includes four short double-helical elements and three loops (D, anti-codon, and T loops). Lineage: Bacteria; Candidatus Kerfeldiibacteriota. The record is from RNAcentral.